Molecule: long non-coding RNA, 14583 nt
Organism: Acipenser ruthenus (sterlet)
Lineage: Eukaryota; Metazoa; Chordata; Actinopteri; Acipenseriformes; Acipenseridae
Exons: 5
Source: RefSeq, a predicted model, not a curated record
GACCACUGAAGGGAUGACGAGUUUUCCCUUCCCCAAACCAUAAAUGCGGAAUAGGCAGUGGUAUUACAAACAAACAGUCCAGUGUCCUGUUCAUAUUGCGGGGACUUAUCUUAAAAAAAUAGAUAUACUUAUCUUAGUCUGAGAGGAAAAUGGGUCAACAUUAUCAACAAACGAAGGCGACAGAGAGCACAAAAGAGAGAGCAGCAACGACAACAACAACUGAUAGAAAAGAAACGCAGGAAAGACUGUUUGACUUGGGAUUGGUCCAGCAGGAAAAACAUUCUGCACAUUUCCAUCAGGAAAUGGCAGCAGCUGACUUCUAUUUGGGACAAUUAUAAGGAGUUUGAAAUGAACAUUCCUGUAUUGUCAGGGCUGGGAGAAGACGACUGUUCUUCAGGAGACUUGUUGAUUUAUCUUGUUUAGAAGAAUGGCAGCACUCUAACAGGAGUAGUCUUUAUGAAAAAGCAGUUGACUACAUUGCUUCAAGACAAAUGAAACUUACAUUCUGCCUUUCACAAAUUAUGUACGUUAAAGGGUCUGCUUGUUUUUUUUUUUUUUUUUUGUUUUUCUUUCCCAGCCGUCAGCCAAAAAUAAAGAAAGAAUUAAGUGAUUCUUCCAAGACCUCUUGGGACCGCUCCUUGACAGUUCACUCCUACAAUUAAGCCUGGCUACCAGUUCUACUCCAAUCCAGAAAACCAGGUGUUGAAUAAACAAAGCCUACUGGUUUUGGCAGCUUGAGUGAAGAUCAAUGAAAAACAAUCUGGACCUACAGUUCCAGAGAUCCAUGCAGUUGUGAACCUGAAGAUUAUGGAUAUUUCAGCUGUAGACUGGAACAUCAAGAAAUAGGAAACAUACACUAGUGUGCUGGGUGCUUGCCCUCUGCAACAGUCUGUUUUUCCAGCAGGGAAAGCUCUACCUGAAGGAAAGCCCAGCUGUGAACGCUGCCAGAGACUAAACCUACUGGUAACAAUCCAUCUCCAAAUACUAAUCUGAAAACAGCUGCCAGGGGAAAAUAAUAAUAAUAAUACUACUACUACUACUACUAAUAAUAAUAAUUACCACCUCCCCUUUGGUUUUGCUUAUUUAAUUUACAGUCCUUUUUGACCGUUUUUUUUGUUAAAUCAGUUAAGGUUCGUCUUUUUUAGCACCCAUAGAGGGUGCUAAUUAGUAUUUUUGUCCAGCUGUCUAUGGACAGCUGGUGUAGUCCCGUCAAACGGACCUUAAAUAGGACUACUACUACUACUAAUAAUAAUAAUAAUAAUAAUAAUAAUAAUAAUAAUAAUAAUAAUAAUACUUUGAAGUUGCUACUAAUUUAUCCAUAGAGUAAACAAACAGUUCAUCAUAAACUGUUCAUACAUUGCCCAGCUAGGUAACUCAAAAAAAUAAAAUAUAAUUAUUAAACACUAUAGCCAGCUUAGUAAUUUUAUAGAUGCAUAGACAUGAAAAAAAAAAAAAAUCAUAUCAUUUUGUAAUGACAAGUACUGUAGUACUGUAUCUAACAGUUUUUUCAAUAAUUAGAAAAAAAAAUGACUGCAAUACAAAAUCCUGUAAUUUUGUUUUAUUUAUGUACAGGGUAUAGAGAUAGAUAGUGAGUUAAAAAAAGGGUCUUCUGAUAGCACUGUCAACAUUAGUGGAUAAAAAUGAACAGCACAGGAAGAGGGGUAUCCAGACAAUAGACUCCACACUAAAUUAUCAUGAACGAAUGGCUGUUAAAUAUUUCUCUGACCUUUUUCAGUAUGCAAACGUACUCACUCUGUGGAAUAGCAAAGGUGGACGUGUGAUUUUGUUAAUUGCUUUGCUAAGACAGUAUUAAAUCUGAACCACUUCUACGGGCGCCUAUAAUCCCACAUCUAAUAAAUAAUGCUAAUUCAUUUAGAUUAGAAAAAUUGCUUUUUCUUAAAUGGUAUUUAUUUAUGUUUUGUUCUGAAAACAGUUCUGCAGAUUUGUUGUUUUUUUUGGACUGAUUUUCCAUGGAAAUGUGUCGUGGAAAUAGCUUGGCAUCUGAGCCUAUUGACUUGAAUAGAGAAGCAAGCACUCAAUGUGAACUGCUAACCGUGCUGGUCAAAGAUGAAUGUGCCACCAUUCAAUUAAAGAGCAGGCUCUGUAGAGGUAAGUCCUCAUCAGCCACUAGAAGGAAAUCUCCAGACUCAGGGAGCUUCAACCUCAGACGUGACUUUAGAGAGCAUCACGUGUCUCACAUGCUACAGUUUACAGUGCAAUGAACAUGGGCAUUAACUGCUCUGUUUCAACCACAGGGGUCAGAGUAGUUCCCAUAAUCAUAAUAAUAAUAAUAAUAAUAAUAAUAAUAAUAAUAAUAAUAAUAAUAAUAAUAAUAAUAAAUCAUAUUAAUAAUAAUAUCUUUAUUUUUAUACGGCAUCUUUCAUAGUGGACCACCAUCACAAAGUGCUUUACAGAGGUAGGCUGUGAACUGUCACUUACAAUAGGACGUUGAUUUAACAUCUCAUCUGCAGGAUGGAGGUAAGGUACCACUGCAAUGAACUGACAUAUCAGCCCAGUGAAUUGAAUGGUACACAAACCACUAACCUCACGGUUCAAAGAGUGUCUUGUCAUUCAACUUAAGAGCAAAAUCCGUUGUCGUGAGGUAAGUACAUGUCUUACACUGAUAUAAAUAUUAUUACUGCAUGAGCCAGUAAGAGGAGGUUCAUUACAGUGCGUGAUGCUAGUAUGUACAAAUGCCUUACGUUGCUUUUAAAUUUAAAUUCAGCAUACUGUGUUAUGUUUUCUAAGGAUUUCACGAUGGUAGACUGAAGUAAACUAUGAGGAUUACAUUUGUUUUAAUACUGGGAAGUUCACAAUGUAACCCUGUUUUUCUGUGAUAGGCUUUUUAUGGGUAAAAACCAGAUGUGACCUUGCUUUACAUAUAAACUUACUCAAUUUCUCAAAGGCAGUUUGCACUUGGAAACCCCUAAUUUAUCUAUGAUUUUUUUCCGCAUUUGCACUGCACUGGCUAAGUAUUAAAUUCAGGAUUGAUUUUAAGAUCCUGCUUCUUACUUAUAAAGCCCUUCAUGAAUCGGGGCCUUUGUAUCUGCAGGAUCUGAUUGUACCUUAUACUCCCAGUCGCACUCUACGGUCAGCAAGUGCUGAUCUUUUGGUCAUCCCUCGCAGUCACUUAAAAUCAGGAGGAGGAAGAGCUUUUAGUUGUUGCCCACCCCAUCUCUGGAACUCUAUUCCAAGUGAUGUUAGAGCUGCGGCUAAAAUUGAAUCUUUUAAGUCAGGUUUAAAGACGUAUCUGUUUUCUCGUGCUUACUGUUAGGCUGGGUUGUUAGCCAUUACUUUUUGUUGUAAAGCACCCUGGGAUUUAAGAACAUAUUGUAUUGUAUUGUAUUGUAGUUCACAUACAAUAUACAGUUUAACUUAAUACACUGCCAUCUGUCAGCUGACAAGCUCUUUCUCCCAAGUACAAAUCCCUAUUACACAUAAAAAAUAAAAAUAAACCAUGAUGUUGCAGAGAACACCGUAAUCUUUUCAUCCAUUUACAGCUUCAAAUGAGUGUUGAGAUGCUUUUGAAUAUUAAUUGACUCAUUCUCCUGGCCACACUGUGUGCCAAGAAUAUGAAAUGUCUGUGGAAUCUAAGGAUGUUUGAUUGUCAACACAACACUGUUUUUUCUUUUGACUGCAAUUAGACGCAUGCUACAUCACAUGCUGAUGAAAAUGAGGGCCAUUUUGGGGACAUGAAGGAAUGAAGGUCAAACAGUUUAUGGAAAAGACAAUUAAAGGAUGACAUGUAGGAUUAUUACCUUUUUGGUGGACUGAUAUAGGAGGAGGUUGGGUGGCUCAGUAGAUCAGUGAUGGGUAGCAAAUGAAGCAUAUCUUGAAAGCAUUUGCUCAAGUAUUUAAUUAAAUCCACAUUUUCUCAAACUCAUUUUCUCACAAUCAGCCUUGGGGAGGGUUUUUUUCCCAGAGGCAAUUUUUUUUCCUUGAAUAAUAAUGCAAAUAAUGAUCUAAGCAGAAACAAUAAUAGAGAAAUAUAUACAAUGCAUAUCAUUGUACAUCAAACAGGUAAGAAUAUUAGGAAAGUGUAGAUAAUACAAAGCUCUCUUUAAGAGAUGGUCUGUUUUAAUUAUCUAAACACAGGCGUAUCUAAAUACCACUGCUCUGUAAUGCUUUGCUUAACCUGCUGGUGCUAUCACACAGGAUUGGUUUACUUACUGCACCUGUUUAUUAAUAUUAUUAUAUUCAAUAACAAAUAGUGAUAUUAGAUCUACAAAAACCCAGCAUUUGAAUAAUUUCAAUUAGAACCACUGUGAAUAAUUGCAGAUAUUUUUAAACUUUUCCAAGACAUAAAAUAUAGACUGAUAGUGAUCCAAAUUGAUUUCCUUGUCAUUGCAAUUUAAAGGCUUAUGUCAAAUGAGUAGUCACACAACAGGUCUUAGUGCAAAAGUGUCAACAUCUUAAUAAUGCCACUGCAGUUAGCCCAGGUAUAUCAGAGGAUAUUACAGCUGUCUUUGAUAUAUGUUGGUCUUUAUUCUAGUGGGCCAUUUGUCGACUAAUGUUGGUCUCUUGGGUUCAAUCAUGUAUCCAUCACCAUUGACAAUGUGUUUGAAAUGGCGAAUGUUCUUCUUCCAUUGGUGGUGAGGUGAGUCCUGAAGGAGCUUCUAUUUAUACUCUGUAAGUUACCUAACGAGUAUCUGAUCCAUUCUAUUUUUUCUGUCGAGUAUUCCUCCAACAGUGUUCUUGCUUUCUAGUUGCCUUGCUAACAUACAAUCUUGGAUAUACAACACUGUUCUCUUGUAGAUUCUGAAUAAAAGAGAGGUCAUUUUGUUUUAAAAUAAAUAUAGGAGCAAACAUCUGCUGUAUUGUAUAAUACCUGAUCUAAUGACAAUGAAAAAUAUUCCUACCCCACUAUGGGAGACUUUUGCUUUGGGCCUGCGCUACAUUGCUCUUCAAACAAAAGGAAUACAUGUGUUUUUAUACAUAUCUACCUUUGUUCUGUUCAGAGUUAAGCCCUGUAAGCUUGCAGAGAAGAUCCAGUCUUCCAUCUUUUUAUUUUCAAGCAGCUCUUGCUAGAGGCGGAUCAGAUAAUGCCCAUGUUUCUUCACAGUUCAUAAUCAGUCAAGAUUAAUAGGAAAUGUACAACUUGCAAUGCAGUAACUGCCAUGCUUUGCAAACACCACCACCCCCAACAAACACCUCUAACCCACUGUCUCCCUGAAUCUAAGGCAAGCAUUCUUGUAAUGUGCCCAAAUAAGUCAUCUCCACAUUCGGUAUGUUUUAUGAUUCAGCUCUGUGCACACCCACAGUGGUUUACAGUGUAAAUAACUAUGAUCAUGUUCUUAUCAGUAGUCAAAUUAGUAGUCGAAGUUUAUCAAUUGUAGCUUAAAAAAAAAUAAGUAAAACCACAAGCGGAAAAAGCAUCUGUAAUUAUUCCAAAGGAUCUAAUAAAUACACAUUACAGACUUGUUUUUGUUUUUAAAUACUUCACCAGUAAAAGGUGACUGUAGUGGGUUAUUUUCUUAACUGGUAUUUCUUUUACUGGUUAAGUGUCAUGAUUUUUAAUUGCUUUUUAAUGUAUUACCACAUCAUUUAGUCCUUUCUCUACACGAGGCUUCAAAGCACUGAAAACACUCGUGAUGACAGUUGGUUUCUAUUAAAUUGCUGUUUAUUGUAUGUAGUAAUAUAAUUAGAGCAGUAUUCUUGGAGGCAUAACAUUAUGAGAAUCAUAUUUCUUUGCUGAAAGGUGCCAGAACACUAAAGCAGUGAUACAUUUAUAUGUAAAAAAAAAAAAUCUUAAAAAAUGUAAUAUUUAAACUUAUUAAAUAUUGAUGCAUUGUUCUCGUGCCACACUGAGGUAAUUGUUUUUUUGUUUUUUUAUCAUCUUUUUGCUGCUGUGUUAAUCAUUACCAACUAAAAACAUUUUACUACCACAUAUUAUUGGGGUUAAUAAAUUUGAAAAAGCUGAGCAGAAUUAGCCAAGUUGCCACUCAGAUGUAUGCACCUGCCAAGCUUAUUCCGAAUCUGUUAAAGAUGCUGCUGGCAAUGAGUGCAAGAAGGCUGGUGUUCUUAAAUCAAUAAACCAAAUCAAAGAGUAUUAGAUGAAAAAUGUAGCCUAUUUAGAUAUACUUCGACAAAUGUAAUGUAGUUAUAUGAAAAUGCUUCACAAAAAGAUCAUUUAAAAUUGCAAAUCACUUCCCUGUUAGAAAUUCCAGCAAGGGUAAGGAAUUUUAAACCAGUCCUUUUGAAUCAUUGCUAGCAGGUUGGUAGACUUGUUGAUAGCUUUAAAAUCACAUGGAGUAAAGAUUAAAGUUUUUCAUCUGUGGAUAGCAGUUUUUUUCUUCUUAAACAUGUUUUCUAAAAUGUCCCCUAUUGAACUUACAACUCACAUUUUUAAUGUGGCAUGUAUGUUGUGAGGGUUCUAAUGACAUACACAGGCACAAGGUUGUCUGGUUAAUUAGAAAGAUUUGUUGUUUGUCUUCAAAUGCCAUUUAUUUUUGCAACAAAAAUCUUACUGGGGGACGGGGCUAAGCAUGCUAGUCUCAGGAGUAGCAGUAAAGCAAACAUUUACUCCCUCCUUUUGCAAAUUUAUGCUAUACAGUAUAGCAUACUCUGUGUUUAAAUAAAUACUACCAUAUAAAGAUUUGAAUUGAGUUGCUUGUGAAUGCUUAAGGCAGGGGUGUCAAACUCCAGUCCUCAUGGGCUGCAGGGUCUUCUGGUUUUCAUUUAAACUUAAGCUUUCAAUUAACAUAAUUGAUCUAAUUAUUUGUUCAAUUUGACAUAUUUAAUAUUUUUCAAGGUCUUUUUUACAGUUGAUGGUUUUAAAAAUGCCCUUGAUUCAAGGUACACUACCUCUGAAGCAUUUUGAGGCCUGAAGAGAAGUGUUAAAUGUGUCCAGUUAAUCAAAUAAUUAGACCAAUUAAGUAAUUGAGAGCUUGGGUAGAACGAAAGCCAGAAGACACUGUGGCCCUCCAGGAACUGAGUUUGACACCCCUGGCUUAAGGAUUUAGAUUUAGACUGUAACAAAUGAGAGCUUUGCAGUAAUACAACAAUCACGAUUCUUCCUAAGUUUAGAAGUGAAACUACAGGUUCCUGCAGCUGAAUGGGGUAAAGAACGUGUUUUGCAUGCUCAUGAUAUUAGGGCUGUAGAUCCACUUUUACCUGCUUGGAUCAUGUAUUGGGGAAUACGCAUCUGGGACUGGGCACACCUAGCAGAUUGUUUUCUUUAACUAUUACUAUUAUUUUAAAAGUCAUGUCAAUAGAGUUUUCUGAAGAACAUAUUUUUGUUGUUUGAUUUACUGUUCCAUGUGCUAUUUUCAGAUUUAGUUAGUUGAAUUUCAAACUUUAUUUAAAUAAGAAGAAGAAGAAGAAGAAGAAGAAGAAGAAGAAGAAGAAGAAUACCCAGGUUAAAGCUCUUCUUAUGUGUUACAGUUAUAGCAUCAUGUAUUAUAGUGAAUAACAUUAUUAGUCCUGCUACAUAAUAAACCCUGCUGGUGGCGUUGGUAAAGUACUUGAGCUUCACUCUCAUGGUUUAGAAUAGCAAACCUCAUGAUGGACUUACGGCCUCAGUAAUUAUGUACAGUUGGAUGCACGUUUUCUCCUGUAGAAUUUAAUUGAGUUCUGACAAUGGAUUGAAUAAUAUGAGGAUAAAGUUCAAAAGGGGUUAUUCCCUAUGAUUUAUUUAUUUUUGUAAAUAUUUUGUAUUAAGAAUUGUGGAUUAUCACACAGUUGGUUUUAUUGUAGGCUCAACCUCACCUUAGGAACACUGAUUAUGUCAUACAUUUUCACAAGAAUGCAUUUAUCCUACCCACUAACAUAGUAGGUUCGAAAUAGGAGCAAGGUGGAGUGCACUGAUUAUAAUUGCAGCCUUUAAAUUCUAGUCAACUACAAAUGGGUGACGUCAUUUGUUUGCAGUUUAUAUUAUUUAUAAACAAAGACAUUACAAAGCUGCUUGAAGGCUAAUAACUUUAAAAGUGAGCAUUAACAGAUAUCGUAAUACAUGCCGAGUUACAGACAAGACACAGGAUUUGGAAGUAUAAUUAACAUUUCAGUGUUUAAACCAAGCUGCCCAGGAUGCUGAAUAAUACUAAAGGAAAUUAUAAUACAUUUUGUUCUCUGCUUCAAAACUAGCUGGUAUUAGUUCAGUCACUUACUAUGCUGUGACAAAAGAUGGAGAUGAUAACACAUGUUUUAAUUAAGACACCGUUAUUCCUGGGGUCCAGGUCUUGCAUUAACUAAGUGCUGGGAAUAUGGGGCUGUUACAAUACUGUACAAACCAGACUGUUCUCUGUCCUCUACUCCACUCUUAAAACCUAAUCUUAGCAACUGUGAAACCCCAAAAUACGCAUAGCUAAUGUGUCACUUACAGUUUGUACUUGUAUGAUUUCAUCCGGAAGUUGGUGGGGGUAAUAAAAAAAAUCUGGCCUUAAUUGUCACUCAGAAUGUGACCAUAUAGUGCUUUAAUGUUUAUUUCAAUAUAUAUAUAUAUAUAUAUAUAUAUAUAUAUAUAUAUAUAUAUAGGAUUAGAUUAUUUUUAUUUAACGAAAGGAAAGGAAGACGUGGCACAAACAAAAAAAAUAACACAAAAAAUAAGCGUUUUUUAGCAUCACAAGCCAAACGAAACAUAUCAUACUUUUGUUAAGAUAAAAAAGCCCUGUCCUCUUACAGGAUGAUCUAGUAUUGCUUGUAUAAUAAAACAGCAGGUUCUUUGUGUGCAAAAAGAAAGCCAUAAAAAGUGUUUGUGAGACACGCAAAACAAAUAUUGACUGUAUGUAUAUCAGACGCAUCUCACAACAUAAGACAUCAUACGAAAAUAAUACCUCUUCAAAAAGCAAGAAAUGUCUUACUGUAAUGGAGUCUACAUCCAGAACUAUACAGGCAGGCAUUAGGACUGUGGUAGACUUGGGAUGGCCUGCUGUGCACAAUUAGGACGUUUUUUUUAUUUUUUUUAUUCAAAGCUGUUGAGAACAGAGGGCUAGAUUGGCAUGGAAUGUUUCCUUAAUAACCUUGUUAAACAUGGCCAAUCAUAGCCUUUCUGUCUUCCACAAGUUGUAUAUAAACCUGCUGAUUAGCUUCAAGGAGGAGGCUAGCACGUGGGUGGUGAGAGGACUGGUUCCUUUGUGUACACACUAUGUUGUAUCUGUUGAGUUUGUUUUGCAGGAGCUGAGCCUAACUCUGUCUGCUUAUCAGACAGUUCAACGUGGAGUGGAGGGCUGCUCUACAAAGACAUAGUAAAAGAAAAAAAAAAAGAAUAAAGCUACUACUGUAGAUCUCCAGAACAGGCCGGGUAUUGAUUAGCUUAUGAGAUCUGACAGUAUCACCAAAGGCAGUAGCAACAUGCAAGCAUUUUGUUAUCCAAAUUCCAAAGGAGAAAAUUGUUUUUUUUUUGUUUAUUUUGUCUCUUAGUGAUGAAUGUUAGGUUAGUGUUAUGCAAUCAAGGUUUACAGAAUCCAGCUACAUUUAUAUGUGUAUGACAGUAUUCAGUUAUGUGUAGCACUUCAUUUUAAUGCUUAAAGAUCUAAUCACCAGAAAAAUAAAUAAUUAAACGACUUGCUUACUGUCACAAAGAUAUAUGGCCAGCUGUUUUCAAAAGAGGUUAGAAAUAUGUUUCAUAUUUAUCUUUUUUAUGUACAUUAGGAGAGCUUAUCUCACUCUGACGAAGCACCUUAUGCAACUCUUCAAAACACUUGUCACCUUGUCAGGAACGGAAUUACAAACAUAAACCGAAUCAUUGCUUAUUAAUAUGCUGUGACUGUUGUUUCCUCAGCUAGCUGACAGUUUCUGAAGAUCUCUGGAUGCAGGUACCAGAUAUCAUGGACGUCUUUAUACUUUCGACUUCAAAAUACCAGCUUUGCAUUAUAUUUGAAGGUAUGCUGGCUUGGGGAAAGCAAGUGAUCUGCUUUAAAAGCACUCAAGGAGAAUUAGACUCUGGGAAGAUGUACAGCUAUACUGUUUUCAAUGAGUGUAAUAUGGCAUUAUAACUUUAUAUUUAAAAUAAGUAGCUUAAAAUUACAUUUAAACAGUUUUCCUUCCCUUUCCUUUUUAUGAUAUUUGCAAUCGUUCUUAUUUUCAUUUUUCAGCAUUUUUUUCAGGUAAUUGUAAAGAGUGUUGUUGCUCAGAUAUUGCACUUUUAUUUAUUUUUUAUUUGAAAAGCACAGCAACUGAUUGAAGCUGCCAGGUUUUUUUUUUCUCAUUCAGUUUAUGGCUAUCAGUUGUGUCCCUUUAGUCUGAUCCCUCCCUGAACCCAUUUUGUCUUGCUGCAGGGUAGUUUGAGUAAUACUUCAAUUAGUGAUAGCCUAGCACUAUGUUCAUACAAUCUAUUUUGCUGUCCAGUCGGAGAUCACAAUAUGAUUGUUUUGGCUUUUUAGAGGGGUCAAGGGGUGCUGCAGGCAGCUAUGAAAAUCCAGUACUGGAAUGGCAAAGCGCAAGAGAAAUUAGAAGUGAUAAGUUGAUGGGCUUUGUAAAACAAUUCAGAGCACUUUCCUAGGAAAAAGACAACCAAUAAAACUCUAUAUUUGAGAAACAACACUCUGAAAUACUCAGAACACUGCAAGUUUCAUUAUCCGUUAUCAUUAACGGAAAUGGUAACAAUGUAAUUUGAAGCUACUUAAACUAAGUCAUAAGGAGUUCAUUUCGACCUCAUUAAGUGAUUAAAAAGAUCAACUCUGAGAGAUUUAAAUGAACUCCAUCUAUAUAUUUAAAGUAGUUAAUUCAUCUCUAAUCAUCCACAUUGAUGAGCAAAAUUGGAAAGCACACUGCAAUUCAAACUUAUUUUGCACCUGCAGUACAGAAUAUCAAAACUCAUUUUGCAAUUCAGCGCAUAUAAAAUGGUAAUGUAGUUAAAUCCUUUUUAUAGCAGAUGGUUAUAUACUAAAUGACAUUUCAAACUCAUAUCCCAAUAUCAAUAUUAACAAUGAUUUUUAUAAAUCAAAGUGCAUGGGGGCUCCCUAGUGGCGCAUCCAGUAAAGGCGCUCCACGUGGAGUGCAGGAUGCGCCCUAUAGCCUGGACGUCACCGGUUCAAGUCCAGGCUAUUCCACUGCCGACCGUGAAUGGGAGUCCCCAGGGGGUGGCGCACAAUUGGCCGAGCGCUGCCUGGGGGUGGAGGGCUUAGGUCGGCCAGGGUGUCCUCGGCUCGCCGCGCACCAGCGACCCCUAUAGUCUGGCUGGGCACCUGCAGGCUUGCCUGUAAGCUGCCCAGAGCUGCGUCCUCCGACACUAGCUCUGAGAUGGCUGCAUGGUGGGCCUGCAGUGUGAAGAAGUGGUCGGUUGACGGCACACGCUUCGGAGGACAUAUGUGUUCGUCUUCACCGCUCCCAAGUCAGCGCGGGAGUGGUAGCAGUGAUUUGAGCUUAAAAAUAAUGGGCUAUUCCAAAUUGGGAGAAAAAAAAGAUUAAAAAAACAAUUGCUGAAUAUUAAAUUUAAAAAAAUAAAUAAAUAAAAUCAAAGUGCACUUACAAAAGUUGUCAUUUCCUUCAAGGGGUUUACGUAAAAGUUAUAGAUUCAGUAGACAGUGUGAACCUCAGAAUUAAUGACAGAGUUGUGUUUUAAACAGUGCUGUGCAGUUAUGUAACCAAGAGUUGCUGCAGAUGCAGAGAACAGCCUGCAAAUCAAAGUUGAAGACAAAAAAUCUGUGCUUUAUUUUGGCAGCCGUUUAGUGAGAAGUAACAUGAAUUUAGAAUAAACGGAUUGAAAACAAAACAAACAAAAAACAAACAAAUAAAUCAGUGACAGCCAUACAUCUGACAGCCUUAAAUUUUGACUUUGAGAUGAGAGGAUUUCCAGUUGUACUACAGGAGAUUUUGCCUGCUUCUCAACAUCUUGCAUCAAAUACAAUUAACUUGCCUGAUAAACAAUUCAGGAGGUCAUUGGGAUAGUGUGGUUUCUUUCUUUAUUAUUUUUUUUAUAGAUUUGUUAUACAAAAUGUCAUGUAUUUGCCUAUAUAUAACACGUGAUUCAAUAAUACUAAAAAUAAUUUGUUUGUGCAUUUUAUAAAGUGAUUCUGAAAUAUCAGUUUUAUACAUUUAGCCAGGUGCAAAACAGAGAAGAAGCAGAAAAGGCUAAAAAGACAGUACAAACUAACCUGCCGUUCUUAUCCUUCCAUUAUGUACCCCAUAGCAACCACAAGGGAAAUAAUUUAGUGAAAAAACAAACAAACAAAACAAACAUUAGCCAAGUGCUUCACUAACUUGCAGCAUAUAAAACUCUUCUGGGAUAUGAAAGAACAUUUCAAACACUUGUGGAGAAAUAACCAAUGUGAAAGUUUCCAAGCUUAAAUCUUACAUUUAUGUCCAUUUGUGAAUUCUAAUAAGAUCUUAUUCUUUUAUAUAAGCUGACUAUGAUUAUAGUGCAGAAAACAGUUUUUAUAUAUAUAUAUAUAUAUUCUAAAGAACGAUCAGAUACUCAAUUAAUCUCUCUGCCGAGCUCCAGCUCUGUUAAGCUUUGCUAAUUGCACAAGAACAAUGGAUCUCUGUUUGAAAUCAGCUAAUACAAAAGGGAUUUGUCAGAAAUGAACAAGGCUGUAGUGCAGACACAUGCAUUAAUUGAAAUUAUGUUUUAUUAGAGUCAAAAUGUCAAGAUCAUGAAAUAAAGCACUUUCUAUAUAAAAUAGAACAUGUCAGUAUUAUUUGUGCAGAUCUUGUGAAAUAGUUAUAGUUCAACCUUACAGCACAAACAAUGGUAAUGGAGCUUAAAUUUGAACUGUAUCAGGAAUCCAAAGUCUUCAAAAUUGUAUGUAUGUUAGAAGAAAUGUUAGAAGAAACAUUUAAGCAUAAUCAUAAGGGUUUUAAUACCUUUUUUUUUUUUUAAACGCCGGGAAUAGAUGCCUGUGCUGGGAAUUAAUUUGUGUUCAGAAGUGUUUGCCUUGGAGCUGCAAAUUGGCAGCAGAAGGGAUCUGAAAACCAGAGUGAAACUGAGACGUUUUAUAAUACAAAUUCAAUUCCUUUUUUCACUGAGGUUCAGGCUUGCCAAGCCAACAAAUGGAAACAAAUAAAUACAUAAUUCAUUAGUGUAUAAAAUGGUACUGUAACUUCAGUUAAACUGGAGUGUACAGUAACUACAGUGUAACUGCAAUUUGACAUCACUCCAAAAAUCUGAUGUAGACAAUGCUUUUAAACCGCUGUCUCUGAUGUUGUUAAUACCAAUUUACUGCACUUUUGAGAGAAUUUAACUGAGUUGUGUGAUAUGGUUGGAGCCAUAAAACACCCACUAUAAACAGUACUAAACUAUAUUGGUACAAGACAAAUGCUCAGCAGUAAUAUUUAUUUUCUCUUCGUUCCACCCUUUUGAGGAAACAAUCGCUAUCGAUUUUGCUGAUGAAAAUGACCUCUGGUGAAAUAAUCUAAAACCUUGGCUCAUCUCUGGUGUAGAGUUUAGAUCUUGGCCCAAAAGUGAGAACAGGGAUCUAAUCCAGAAAUCCAGCUCACAAAAACAAGGGCCAGAGGGCUUGGCUUUAUGACACAAAGUUAUUUGUUUACCAGGAACAGUAAUACUUACUUGCUGUCUAUGGCCUGCAGCAUAGCUGUACACAGAUCAGAUACUCCAGUUUGUAUACCCUUGUAAAAAAAAUAAGCCACUAGUAUCUACUGUGAAUGCCCCGUAGCUUAAUAAAGUACCAACCAAUAUAUAUAUAUAUAUAUAUAUAUAUAUUUAUAAUCUCUAUAGUGCUCCCUAGAAUAAAGGCAUGCUGAGAUUAAUUUACUUUAUACAGCUUAUCUUCCUGAUCCACAGCCUCUAUGGGGCAAAUAAUGAAUCUCAUUUAGAAGUUGUUUUACGAUUUACCCACUUUAUACAGGCCCAGGAAAUGGAAUUAGCAUUAUUAUUUAUAUUUAUUUUUUUACCCAAUGGAUAAUGAUGAUACCAUUUACUCUAUAUGCCUGGUACUAUAUAAAUGAAAUGCUCCUUAUUCUAAAAUCAAUGAAAGGGCCUGGAAUGUUAAAUUCUGAUAAAUCGAUGGUUAUUCCAUGUCCUAUGUCUUAUAUUUCAAGCCCUAAAUGAAGAGGCUCCAACUUAUCUAUGUCGUAUAAUAGGUGUUCAUAAAAUAAACCAAUUGAGUUGUAUUUUGUCUCAAAACCUGCUGACCCAAACAAUGUAAAGCAAUUCUUUUGAGAACUUUAUUGGCUGAUAGUUGUGGAUCAAAUUUCCUUUUUCAAGAUAAAGAGAACAAAAAACAAAUCUCUCCAACAGCAACAUAAGUCGUGAAAUACUGACUCUAAUAUAAACAUAUACCAGAUUUACUGAGCUUGCUCAUUUAGCAGGAAUUGCAGGAUGGCACAAUGCAUAAUUAUGAUGUUUAUGGUUGAACAACCAUGACGAGCAAACUGAAAGAACAUAUUUGCAGUCUAUUUGUGGCCAGCGUGUUCCAUUUUGCAAGGACCAUAGUGGGAUUUAGUUUGACUUCAGUCCUUUUUUUCAAAAGGGACUAGGCCUCUGAGCUCCUGCCAGAAUACUUCUGUCACCAGUGAUCUCUCACUGUCUCAUCUGAUCCCCACAGCACAUCGAUUUUAUCUCCUAAGAACAACUGCUUUGAGGAAUUGAUAUGCACUCUGAACAUAAUGUACAACCUUUUUACUGAACUGACAAUCUUUAUAUUAUUGAUUCCAGCUUUAUUAUAUUACAUGUUCACUGUGGUUCAA